Molecule: ribosomal RNA, 482 nt
Filed under: uncultured bacterium
Lineage: Bacteria
Description: partial 16S ribosomal RNA
Rfam family: Bacterial small subunit ribosomal RNA
Source: RNAcentral
AUUGAACGCUGGCGGCAUGCUUUACACAUGCAAGUCGAACGGUAACAGGUCUUCGGAUGCUGACGAGUGGCGAACGGGUGAGUAACACAUCGGAACGUGCCUAGUAGUGGGGGAUAACUACUCGAAAGAGUAGCUAAUACCGCAUGAGAUCUAAGGAUGAAAGCAGGGGACCUUCGGGCCUUGCGCUACUAGAGCGGCUGAUGGCAGAUUAGGUAGUUGGUGGGAUAAAAGCUUACCAAGCCGACGAUCUGUAGCUGGUCUGAGAGGACGACCAGCCACACUGGGACUGAGACACGGCCCAGACUCCUACGGGAGGCAGCAGUGGGGAAUUUUGGACAAUGGGCGAAAGCCUGAUCCAGCAAUGCCGCGUGCAGGAUGAAGGCCCUCGGGUUGUAAACUGCUUUUGUACGGAACGAAAAGACUCUCUCUAAUAAAGAGGGUUGAUGACGGUACCGUAAGAAUAAGCACCGGCUAACUACGUG